Molecule: ribosomal RNA, 459 nt
Filed under: uncultured bacterium
Lineage: Bacteria
Description: partial 16S ribosomal RNA
Rfam family: Bacterial small subunit ribosomal RNA
Source: RNAcentral
CCUACGGGGUGCUGUAGUGAGGAAUAUUGGUCAAUGGACGAGAGUCUGAACCAGCCAAGUAGCGUGAAGGAUGACUGCCCUAUGGGUUGUAAACUUCUUUUAUAAAGGAAUAAAACGAGGCACGUGUGCCUUUUUGCAUGUACUUUAUGAAUAAGGAUCGGCUAACUCCGUGCCAGCAGCCGCGGUAAUACGGAGGAUCCGAGCGUUAUCCGGAUUUAUUGGGUUUAAAGGGAGCGUAGAUGGGUUGUUAAGUCAGUUGUGAAAGUUUGCGGCUCAACCGUAAAAUUGCAAUUGAUACUGGCAGUCGUGAGUACAGUUGAGGGAGGCGGAAUUCGUGGUGUAGCGGUGAAAUGCUUAGAUAUCACGAAGAACCCCGAUUGCGAAGGCAGCUGACUAAACUGGGACUGACAUUGAUGCUCGAAAGUGUGGGUAUCAAACAGGAUUAGAUACCCGGUAGUC